UCAGAACUAUUCGACUGCUUC
Molecule: non-coding RNA, 21 nt
Organism: Caenorhabditis elegans
Lineage: Eukaryota; Metazoa; Nematoda; Chromadorea; Rhabditida; Rhabditidae
Source: Ensembl